This 300-nucleotide long non-coding RNA is filed under the name Salmo salar (Atlantic salmon). RNAcentral's name for it is "lncRNA (ENSSSAG00000115190.1)". The record is from RNAcentral. Lineage: Eukaryota; Metazoa; Chordata; Actinopteri; Salmoniformes; Salmonidae.
GGAACAGUUUGGAGGAUGUAUUCACUGUUUAGGUGGAACAGUUGGGAGGAUGUAUUCACUGUUUAGGUGGAACAGUUGGGAGGAUGUAUUUACUGUUUAGGUGGAACAGUUGGGAGGAUGUAUUCACUGUUUAGGUGGAACAGUUGGGAGGAUGUAUUUACUGUUUAGGUGGAUGUAUUCACUGUUUAGGUGGAACAGUUGGGAGGAUGUAUUCACUGUUUAGGUGUAACAGUUGGGAGGAUAUAUUCACUGUCAUUGCGUGUUGUAUUGGUUGAUGGGUGAUUGUGAUGUGAGUUUAGA